CAUGCAGUCGAGCGGAUGAGAAGAGCUUGCUCUUCGAUUCAGCGGCGGACGGGUGAGUAAUACCUAGGAAUCUGCCUGGUAGUGGGGGACAACGUUUCGAAAGGAACGCUAAUACCGCAUACGUCCUACGGGAGAAAGCAGGGGACCUUCGGGCCUUGCGCUAUCAGAUGAGCCUAGGUCGGAUUAGCUAGUUGGUGAGGUAAUGGCUCACCAAGGCUACGAUCCGUAACUGGUCUGAGAGGAUGAUCAGUCACACUGGAACUGAGACACGGUCCAGACUCCUACGGGAGGCAGCAGUGGGGAAUAUUGGACAAUGGGCGAAAGCCUGAUCCAGCCAUGCCGCGUGUGUGAAGAAGGUCUUCGGAUUGUAAAGCACUUUAAGUUGGGAGGAAGGGCAGUAAGCGAAUACCUUGCUGUUUUGACGUUACCGACAGAAUAAGCACCGGCUAACUCUGUGCCAGCAGCCGCGGUAAUACAGAGGGUGCAAGCGUUAAUCGGAAUUACUGGGCGUAAAGCGCGCGUAGGUGGUUCGUUAAGUUGGAUGUGAAAUCCCCGGGCUCAACCUGGGAACUGCAUCCAAAACUGGCGAGCUAGAGUAGGGCAGAGGGUGGUGGGAAUUUCCUGUGUAGCGGGUGAAAAUGCGUAAAUAUAAGAAGGAACACCAUAGGGCGAAAGGGGACCCCCUGAGCUCCUACUGACAC
This 701-nucleotide ribosomal RNA is filed under the name Pseudomonas putida. RNAcentral's name for it is "bacterial SSU rRNA". It matches the Rfam family "Bacterial small subunit ribosomal RNA", at positions 54 to 746 of the family's 1533-position model. Lineage: Bacteria; Pseudomonadati; Pseudomonadota; Gammaproteobacteria; Pseudomonadales; Pseudomonadaceae. The record is from RNAcentral.